Molecule: long non-coding RNA, 648 nt
Filed under: Rattus norvegicus (Norway rat)
Lineage: Eukaryota; Metazoa; Chordata; Mammalia; Rodentia; Muridae
Description: long non-coding RNA NONRATT031333
Source: RNAcentral
AUCGUACUGAAAAUCGGUAGCUGUCACUGGUGCGGCGCUGCUCAGAAGGCCCCAUCGGCGAGCUCAAAGGAGCUUGAGACUGUCGCCAUCCCCUCCGCAGAGGAAAGAUGGUUGAAGCAGAUCGCCCAGGAAAGCUCUUUAUUGGUGGGCUUAAUACAGAAACAAAUGAGAAAGCCCUGGAGGCAGUGUUUGGCAAAUAUGGACGAAUAGUGGAAGUGCUUUUGAUGAAGGACCGAGAAACCAAUAAGUCAAGAGGAUUUGCUUUUGUCACAUUUGAAAGCCCAGCAGAUGCAAAGGAUGCUGCCAGAGACAUGAAUGGAAAGUCCUUAGAUGGAAAAGCCAUCAAGGUGGAGCAAGCCACCAAACCAUCAUUUGAAAGUGGCAGACGUGGACUACCUCCACCUCCAAGAAGCAGAGGCCCUCCCAGAGGUCUUCGAGGAGGAAGAGGGGGAAGUGGAGGAACCAGAGGACCCCCAUCACGGGGAGGACACAUGGAUGAUGGUGGCUACUCCAUGAAUUUUACUUUGAGUUCUUCCAGAGGACCUCUUCCAGUAAAAAGAGGACCACCACCAAGAAGUGGAGGUCCUCCUCCUAAAAGAUCAGCACCUUCAGGACCAGUUCGCAGCAGCAGUGGAAUGGGAGGAAGAG